This 5683-nucleotide small RNA is filed under the name Pan troglodytes (chimpanzee). Its description in RNAcentral is "retained intron". Lineage: Eukaryota; Metazoa; Chordata; Mammalia; Primates; Hominidae. The record is from RNAcentral.
AUUUUCUUCAGUUGUUUGUCUUUGAAGGAGUUUGUCCAUUUCAUCUAAGUCCUCAAAUUUAUAGACCUAGUGUUUCAUGAUAUACCCUUUUUACCUUUUGUAAUAUUUGUUGAAUCUGUAGAGACAUCAUAUCUCCCAUUUCUGAUAUCUCUACCUAGAAUAUUUGUAGUUGUGAGGCAAUUGUAAAGAUUCCCUAAAAGAUUGGGGUUAUUUUUGUAUGUAUCUGUUUCAGCACGUAGACAGACUAUGCUCUUUUCUGCCACCCAAACUCGAAAAGUUGAAGACCUGGCAAGGAUUUCUCUGAAAAAGGAGCCAUUGUAUGUUGGCGUUGAUGAUGAUAAAGCGAAUGCAACAGUGGAUGGUCUUGAACAGGGAUAUGUUGUUUGUCCUUCUGAAAAGAGAUUCCUUCUGCUCUUUACAUUCCUUAAGAAGAACCGAAAGAAGAAGCUUAUGGUCUUCUUUUCAUCUUGUAUGUCUGUGAAAUACCACUAUGAGUUGCUGAACUACAUUGAUUUGCCCGUCUUGGCCAUUCAUGGAAAGCAAAAGCAAAAUAAGCGUACAACCACAUUCUUCCAGUUCUGCAAUGCAGAUUCGGGAACACUAUUGUGUACGGAUGUGGCAGCGAGAGGACUAGACAUUCCUGAAGUCGACUGGAUUGUUCAGUAUGACCCUCCGGAUGACCCUAAGGAAUAUAUUCAUCGUGUGGGUAGAACAGCCAGAGGCCUAAAUGGGAGAGGGCAUGCCUUGCUCAUUUUGCGCCCAGAAGAAUUGGGUUUUCUUCGCUACUUGAAACAAUCCAAGGUAAAGAUCUGUACUUGGAGAAAGAUUUCUCUCGGUGUAGGAAUUGUUAGCAAGCAACAUUUCUACAUGUGUCAGAGGAGUCUCGAGUCUGGCCAGUGCUAUUACAACCAUUCUUAUGGCAAUUAAGCAAGUAAGGUUUUAUGUACGUCUAGCCCAAGAAGUGAGCACAGAAGGAACUGCCCACAUGGCUCGGCUUUCUAGCUCUGUUACCCAGCAACACCUCUGUGUCCCAGCCUCUCCUUUCCUGUUCCCUCCAGCCCUCUUUGAAACCUUCUCCACUCCUUUGAAGCUCCCUCACACCUAGUCAUCUCUGCUUCUGCUCCCCUUCUUUCCUCUUACCUCAUGUGAAGCAGUGGGGAAUCCUUGUUCGCUCUAGCCUCUGCCUCCUCCCCUGCCCUCUGUCUCCUAUUCAUCAACUCUUGGCCUACAGUCUCUUCCUUGCGGUUGGCGCUUUACCAUCUCAAAUUUCUCACUGUAAAAAAGUAACUUCAACCUUAAACCUGUUCUUCUACCCCUACCUGCAGGAGCUACUGUCUGUUGCCUUUCCUCAGUCAGCCUUACUGGAAAAAUGGCUUAUAUUCUUGCCAUUUACCUCCCUCUCAGUCCCUAACCAGCCGAAUUUGGCUUUAGCUUUCUACUAUCACACCAGAAUUGAAUCCAUCAGAACCCUAAGUGGCCUCUUCAUUGCUAGGCCAUGUGGGGGAUGCAUAUCAGGCCUUCUCCUGCCUGACAUUUACAUCCUCAUUGGCCCUUCUGGCAUAGUCUUGCUGAUAGGCUUCCUCUACCCUGUAACUGCAGGCAGUUCCCUGAAAUUGCUCUACAGCUUUUGCACGCUUUGUCCAGAAUGCUUGGUUUCAGCUCGCCUCUGUCUUUGCUGGGAAGCCAUCGCUGAUCUCCUGCCUCCUUGUUCCCACAGCACAGUUGCUCAUCAGGUUGACAUUUCUUUCUUUCUUUCUUUUUUUAUUAUUAUUACACUUUAAGUUCUAGGGUACAUGUGCACCAUGUGCAGGUUUGUUACAUAUGUAUUCAUGUGCCAUGUUGGUGUGCUGCACCCAUAAACUCGUCAUAUACGUUAGGUAUAUCUCCUAAUGCUAUCCCUCCCCCCUCCCCCGACCCCACGACAAGCCCCGGUGUGUGAUAAUCACCACCCUGUGUCCAAGUGUUCUCAUUGUUCAUUUCCCACCUGUGAGUGAGAACAUGCGGUAUUUGGUUUUCUGUCCUUGCAAUAGUUUGCUCAGAAUGAUGGUUUCCAGCGUCAUCCAUGUCCCUACAAAGGACAUGAACUCAUCCUUUUUUAUGGCUGCAUAGUAUUCCAUGGUGUAUAUGUGCCACAUUUUCUUAAUCCAGUCUGUCAUUGAUGGGCAUUUGGGUUGGUUCCAAGUCUUUGUUAUUGUGAAUAAACAUACGUGUGCAUGUGUCUUUAUAGCAGCAUGAUUUAUAAUCCUUUGGGUAUAUACCCAGUGAUGGGAUGGCCGGGUCAAAUGGUAUUUCUAGGUCUAGAUCCUUGAGGAAUCGUCACACUGUCUUCCACAAUGGAUGAACUAGUUUACAGUCCCACCAACAGUGUAAAAGUGUUCCUGUUUCUCCACAUCUCCUCCAGCACCUGUUGUUUCCUGACUUUUUAAUGAUCGCCAUUUUAACUGGUGUGAGAUGGUAUCUCAUUGUGAUUUUGAUUUGGAUUUCUCUGAUGGCCAGUGAUGAUGAGCAUUUUUUCAUGUCUGUUGGCUGCAUAAAUGUCUUCUUUUGAGAAGUGUGUGUUCAUAUCCUUCGCCCACUUUUUGAUUGGGUUGUUUGAUUUUUUCUUGUAAAUUUGUUUAAGUUCUUAGUAGAUUCUGGGUAUUAGUCCUAGCCAAAAUUGACAAAUGGGAUCUAAUUAAAGAGCUUCUGCACAGCCAAAGAAACUACCAUCAGAGUGAACAGGCAACCUACAGAAUGGGAGAAAAUUUUUGCAAUCUACCUAUCUGACAAAGGGCUAAUAUCCAGAAUCUACAGGUUGACAUUUCAUUACUUAUCUUUCUCCCCCUCAAGACGGCAAGCUCUGUGAGGGCAGAGUCCAUGAGUUAGGCACCUAUUUUCUCUCUAGCACCUGGCACAGGCCUGUUGCUUUUCUAGUUAUCUAAUGAGUGAUAACUGAUGGCAGAUCCAUCCUGUAGGAGUUUGUGGUCAUCAUGGCCUCCAGUGUCACAAGCCUCAAUACAGGACUGUGGGGGUAUUAGGGCCCCUCUUCUGACAUGGAGAAAAGGGGCUGAUGGCCCUUCUGACUAGAAGCUUCAAGCUGAUUCAUGGUUGCAAAUAGUCAGGAUUAUAGAGAUUCUUACAGAAAAGUGCUUUACUGACUGUGUCCCUAUCCAGUUCCUUGCCUUUCAGAAAGAAAGAAGUGCAGAUUGCCUAACUCAGCAGAGCAAAGAUGUAACUUUCCCAUCAACAUUGGGAGACUAGAAAAAGCAGAUUUUCCUUUCUGUCCUGAGGGAAUUUCAUAGGCCGGUUCAUCCUUCCCUGUCUUCAGUACCCAGUAUCGGAAUGCUGAUCAUCCUGCUUUACUAAUCUUAAUACUUUUGAUUUCUAGGUUCCAUUAAGUGAGUUUGACUUUUCCUGGUCUAAGAUUUCUGACAUUCAGUCUCAGGUAUGUGCUUUUUAAACGUUUGUGAGUAAACAGGAACCUUGUCCCAGCACUCUGUUUGUAGUGAUUCACUGGGCAAUCACCGUCCUUUGAAGUCUACCCUGUCCUAAAGUUAGGAUCAGGCUGUGUGGUGUAUAAGGUUUCUUGCUAUUCUAGUUAUCACCACUCUGUGCCCUCUUUAAAUGUUUUCCAUGGAGUGGCUUUGCUCUAGGAUAUUUAAAAUCUGGUGUUUUGGAGGUUUUUGUUUGUUUUUGUUUAUUAAAACCAGUGUUUCUUUCUAUUUCAGCUUGAGAAAUUGAUUGAAAAGAAUUACUUUCUUCAUAAGUCAGCCCAGGAAGCAUAUAAGUCAUACAUACGAGCCUAUGAUUCCCAUUCUCUGAAACAGAUCUUUAAUGUUAAUAACCUAAAUUUGCCUCAGGUUGCUCUGUCAUUUGGUUUCAAGGUGCCUCCCUUCGUUGAUCUGAACGUCAACAGUAAUGAAGGCAAGCAGAAAAAGCGAGGAGGUGGUGGUGGAUUUGGCUACCAGAAAACCAAGAAAGUUGAGAAAUCCAAAAUCUUUAAACACAUUAGCAAGAAAUCAUCCGACAGCAGGCAGUUCUCUCACUGAAGACAUGCCUUCCUUUCAUCUUGAAUAACUUUGUCCUAAAAUGAAUUUUUUUUCCCCCUUGAUUUAACAGGAUUUUUGUAGACUUUAGAAUUUGGACUUACCUAACAAGAGUAUAAAUUGACUUGGGUUGCAAGCACUGAGCACUGUUACUUCUAUCAAGUCUCUCUUUUAUUUCUGGGAUAUAAAACAGGCUUUAAGUUUCUUGGUUGCCCAAGGGCAGAGCAAGGAAUAUCUGGUGUUUCUUGUGAUGAUAAUAUUUUAAUUUUAAAUAUCCCUCCCUCAUACAAGUGUAUGUUACCAUUUUAAUAUAAUUCUUUUUGUACCUUUCCUUCUUGUUUUGUGAAGAUUUUUGUGGCAUGGAUUGCUGUGCUCACUGCUGUAAAAGGUGACCUAGUGUACUGGGCAGCUGGUGGCGGUGCAGAAAAGAGUCUCAGGUUAUUUUUUGUUUUUAGUUAUUUCUUGGACCUUGACAGUAUCUAAUGACUCCUCCUGAAAAUGCUGCAGUAUAAAAGAGCAAAGAGCUUUGGGAAAUACCUAAGAAGCAUCUUAAGAUUAGGGUGACAUUGCUUUUAUAGAUUCUUGAUUUUAAAGCAACAGGCCUUUCUCAGGUGUUGCAUUUUUUGGAGCAAAAACUAUGGGUUGUAAUUUGAAUAAAGUGUCACUAAGCAGUUAUAACGUUUGAUGGCUGGGGGGUAGGAAGAGGAUGGAAUUGAGAUGUUUGAGCCUCAUUUACAUCAAUAGAGGUGUAAUGUACUGCAUUUCUUCAUUUGGUAACAUAACAAAGACUUUAAAAACACACAUACAAAGAACGAUGAUGCUCCUCAUUAAGAUUUGUUUAAUUCAAGGUGGUUUGGAUUUGGUAAGCCUUUGCACUCUGUAGAGUACUUAGAAGACAAGGGCAACUUACUUGGAGUUAGAGCCAAGCUGUCAGACGGUGCCCAGCACACAUUAAUGUUAGCUUCUUUCUGAGAAAAAAAUACCUCUUCCAGGCCCUGAAACAAAAAAUACAUUUGCUGUGAAGAUUGAAAAUGAACAAAGUUAGAAAAAAAAACAGCAAAAUCAGUGAUUUAGUCAGAUGAGUUUUUCGUUGUAGGAGCACUUGAUUUCUAGUGUGUUUUGUACAGUAUAUAACUACAAGAUAGUACAUUUUGUAGCAGUUCAAAGCCAAAGUUGCUAGCAUAAUUUUGCUGUUGUGCCAGUUAAUCAUAGGAUCCCAUUAAAUAAGUGUGCUAACAUCGAAUAUAGAGAACACUGGUAAAGAACAUUCCAGUAGGAAAAGAGAAGAACAAUCUUCCAUUUCUGGGCUUGGCCACCAUCACCCUGGUCGGACCUGUCCUGGACUUCCAACCUUGACUGCUGAGCUCCUGGCUUAGCUUCUUGGGUUCCUAAUUCCUGGUGUUUAAUAAUUCUCUCCACGAUCAUGUUUUUCUGAUUUUUUUUUCAGAAAUAAUGUUUUUUAAAAGACAAAAACAAAGGGAAGAAUAUUUAAUUACUGAGCAGAAGUAAAUACUGUUGGUAUUUUGUACAUAAUCUAAUUUUUAUAUGCAUGUUCAUGCUUUUUAAUUUUUUUAUCAAAAAUUAAGUCAUCUACCUACUACUUGUAACCAGCUUGUUUCAUAACAUGUUAUUUUCCUGUGUCAUUAAAUAAUUACUUC